This is a long non-coding RNA of Drosophila willistoni, 71 nucleotides long. It matches the Rfam family "Heat shock gene hsromega conserved region 2". Rfam says of the family: The heat shock gene hsromega is a long non-coding RNA which produces a number of transcripts. These transcripts include a nuclear transcript, hsromega-n, which is detected as small speckles in the interchromatin space and co-localises with heterogeneous nuclear RNA-binding proteins (hnRNPs). NCBI's taxonomy places the organism in Eukaryota, Metazoa, Arthropoda, Insecta, Diptera, Drosophilidae. The record is from Rfam.
AUCAUUUCUGACGGAUUGAUUGUAGGAACACUGGUGUAUCGACUUCUCUGCUCCACUAAGAGUCUCUCACG